Molecule: ribosomal RNA, 253 nt
Filed under: uncultured bacterium
Lineage: Bacteria
Description: partial 16S ribosomal RNA
Rfam family: Bacterial small subunit ribosomal RNA
Source: RNAcentral
UACGAAGGGGGCUAGCGUUGCUCGGAAUCACUGGGCGUAAAGGGUGCGUAGGCGGGUCUUUAAGUCAGGGGUGAAAUCCUGGAGCUCAACUCCAGAACUGCCUUUGAUACUGAAGAUCUUGAGUUCGGGAGAGGUGAGUGGAACUGCGAGUGUAGAGGUGAAAUUCGUAGAUAUUCGCAAGAACACCAGUGGCGAAGGCGGCUACCUGGCCCAUUCUUGACGCUGAGGCGCGAAAGCUAGGGGAGCAAACGGG